UUCAUUGGCGAGUGUGUGUGUGCGUGCGCUGUGGCAGCGGCUUUUUUGGCUGCGCUCGGUGCGUGUGUUGUGCUUGCUUGCUGGUGCCCUGUGCUGCGGUGGGACGUCAAGGUCAGUUCGUAUGCUGCGGGAAAUGGCUGCUGAGGAGGUAGGGCUUACGCUCUGCGUUUGUCUAUUAUAUCUUGGCGGACGAGUCGUCGCGGUUGGGACUGAGGUGCCUACAACGUGCUUUUGAGUGGGUGUGUGUCUCCGUGUGCGCCGUGUGCGGAUAGCUUGCUAUGCGUGUGUGGUUGUGUGUGGAUUGAUGCGUGUCUUAACUUGUCGCCGUUCGGGACGUUGACGAAAUGGAGCGAUCCGACCCGUCUUGAAACACGGACCAAGGAGUCUAACAUGUGUGCAAGUGUUAGGGUGUGGAAACCCCAGCGCGAAAUGAAAGUGAAGGGCAGCGCAAGUUGUCUGAGGUAGGAAACGUUGCGGGCUUCGGUCUGCGGYGUGGCACUAUCGACCGAUCAUGAACCUUCGUGGUGAAAGAUUUGAGUUUGAGCACAUAUGUUGGUACCCGAAAGAUGGUGAACUAUG
RNAcentral lists this ribosomal RNA (579 nucleotides) under Phytophthora inundata. RNAcentral's name for it is "partial large subunit ribosomal RNA". The record is from RNAcentral. Lineage: Eukaryota; Oomycota; Peronosporomycetes; Peronosporales; Peronosporaceae.